This is a long non-coding RNA of Ananas comosus (pineapple), 816 nucleotides long. RefSeq lists it as uncharacterized. The transcript is spliced from 4 exons. The record is from RefSeq and is a predicted model, not a curated record. NCBI's taxonomy places the organism in Eukaryota, Viridiplantae, Streptophyta, Magnoliopsida, Poales, Bromeliaceae.
CUUUUUCUCCUCUCUCUCUCUCUAGUUUGAGUAUAUACUUGGUAGAGGCCACGACGGUUGGAGUUCGGAUCGACGUCGAUUUCACGCCGGAGAGCCGUUUGAGCCUACGUGCGUUGUGGUAGCGCCAUUGGAGGCCGGACGAGUGCGUGUUUUCCCUUCUUUCGACUUCUCACCAUCGUUGGAUUAGCUUUUCAAGAGCCUCCUUCUUCGGCUGCUGCUGUUGCGGAUACAGAUCGCGGAAAGGGCGCUGCGAGCUAAACCCUCUCCAUUUGCUGCAGACUAGAGAUAUACCAACUACAGUGGUCGUCGUCGUCGUCGUCACCAGCGAGGGGGCGAUCGCGGUGGAGAAAGAGGAGCCGCGGUCAUAGAGGAAGCGGCUGAUAGAGGCCACCUCAACGGUGGAAGGGGAUUGGGCGGACCCGGACCGUUGGAUCGGGCGAUGCUUCUCGUGGGAGAUCGGCGCCGACCUCGCCAUCCCCGGCGGUGCCUUCGGCUGAGGCUGUCGUCAUGAGCGCUUCCGACGACAUCGGCUGCACCUUCACCUUCCUCCUCGCCGCUGCGGGCGUCAGCCUCGUCCUUAUCGGCCGCAACUUCAACGAGCUCCGCGACAUCGCUACCGCCAUCCGCUCCCGCAGCCCAAAAAGGAAGAGAAAGAGGAAGAGGGCAAAAAUGUCAUUUCACAAACUUACUCUUAAAAAAUAAACAACUCCUUUACGGAUCCUAACCAGAGAGACUUAUCUGAAAACAUUAGAACUUUUGUAGGGAUAACAUCUAAAAGUUGAACUUUGCAGAAAUAUAUCUGUAAUUUACUAUAUU